RNAcentral lists this long non-coding RNA (369 nucleotides) under Nicotiana tabacum (common tobacco). RNAcentral's name for it is "long non-coding RNA (NTAB_LNC010825)". Lineage: Eukaryota; Viridiplantae; Streptophyta; Magnoliopsida; Solanales; Solanaceae. The record is from RNAcentral.
UCGUUGAGUCUAGCAGUCGCUUCUUCUCCAAGUUUUAACCAAACUAUAGUUGCUGCUGCUGUUGCUGUUGCGAAUGGCACUCUCCAGAGCCAGGGAUUGCCUUGAAUUUUCUCCUUAGGUGAGAAAGCUUCAUCAUAGAAUUCUACCGGUGUUUUGGGAGAAGAAGCAUUCGAGGAAACUUCAUCCACCAAACUAGUGUUUGUUGCUUCUGGAAGUGCAGGGGUUGAUGGAGACCAAUACUCAUCGUUGCACCUUUGAUUAACUGUUGCUUUGGCUUGUUUCAUAGUUUCUGCAGCAGCUCUGAGCUUCUUAAUGUCGGGUUCAAUUAGCCUUCUCCUAACUGGUACCAAAGCCUGGACAGCUUCUGCA